AUGGCUCAGGAUGAACGCUAGCGGCAGGCUAACACAUGCAAGUCGAGGGGCAGCGGGAUGUAGCAAUACAUUGCCGGCGACCGGCGGAUGGGUGCGUAACGCGUAUGCAACCUACCUUAUACAGGGGAAUAACCUUUCGAAAGGGAGACUAACACCCCAUGGUAUUGAUUUAAGGCAUCUUAGAUUAAUUAAAUAUUUAUAGGUAUAAGAUGGGCAUGCGUAUGAUUAGCUAGUUGGUAAGGUAACGGCUUACCAAGGCGACGAUCAUUAGGGGUUCUGAGAGGAAGGUCCCCCACACUGGUACUGAGACACGGACCAGACUCCUACGGGAGGCAGCAGUGAGGAAUAUUGGUCAAUGGGCGCAAGCCUGAACCAGCCAUGCCGCGUGCAAGGAAGACGGCCUUAUGGGUUGUAAACUGCUUUUACAUAAGACUAACCGUAUAUUUGCGAAUAUACCUGAAUGUAUUAUGAGAAUAAGGAUCGGCUAACUCCGUGCCAGCAGCCGC
RNAcentral lists this ribosomal RNA (506 nucleotides) under uncultured bacterium. RNAcentral's name for it is "bacterial SSU rRNA". It matches the Rfam family "Bacterial small subunit ribosomal RNA", at positions 19 to 518 of the family's 1533-position model. The record is from RNAcentral.